GCCAGGCACGGUGGUGCAUGCCUAUAAUUCCAGCCGCUCGGGAGGCUGAGGCAGGAGGAUCUCAAGUUCAAAGCCAGGAACUGGGCAAGGCCUUAAGAAACUUAGUGAGACCUGUCUCUA
RNAcentral lists this small RNA (120 nucleotides) under Marmota monax (woodchuck). Lineage: Eukaryota; Metazoa; Chordata; Mammalia; Rodentia; Sciuridae. The record is from RNAcentral.